UUUAAGCCCCAAAUAUAAAGCCUCAGCUUUUUUUAGAA
This 38-nucleotide transfer RNA is filed under the name Macrolenes dentipes. RNAcentral's name for it is "partial transfer RNA-Leu". The record is from RNAcentral. Lineage: Eukaryota; Metazoa; Arthropoda; Insecta; Coleoptera; Chrysomelidae.